Non-coding RNA from Vicia faba (fava bean), 279 nucleotides. Lineage: Eukaryota; Viridiplantae; Streptophyta; Magnoliopsida; Fabales; Fabaceae. The record is from the annotation of a GenBank genome assembly.
AUGGGUUUUCGCUUACCUGGUAUUAGACGAUCAUCGUUUAGUGCAAGCCAAGCAUCUAGAAAAGAAGUGGGAGUCCCAAAAGGCUAUCUUGCCGUUUAUGUUGGAGAGAAUGCAAGGAGGUUCUUGAUUCCAGUAUCGUUCUUGAACGAACCUUUGUUUCAAGAAUUGCUUAGUCAAGCUGAAGAGGAAUUUGGUUACUGUCACCCAAUGGGUGGUCUUACAAUUCCCUGCAAGGAAGAUAUCUUCAUACAAACAACUUCUCGCUUGAACAACCUAUAA